RNAcentral lists this long non-coding RNA (2246 nucleotides) under Equus caballus (horse). RNAcentral describes it as "lncRNA (ENSECAG00000060145.1)". Lineage: Eukaryota; Metazoa; Chordata; Mammalia; Perissodactyla; Equidae. The record is from RNAcentral.
CUCAGGGAAGCCAUGCAGGCUGCAUAAAGCUGUUGUGAAAGGCCGCAUUUAGGAUAGAUGCAGCAGCCUCUCAGCGAUAUCACUAACUUCAGGAGGCAGAAAGGCAGUUUCAGAGUUCUAGUCAGUGGUGAGAUGGGAGAUUAUUUCCUCUGGAAACCCUGAAUCUGUCUCUCUGAAAGCAUCUUCAUACUGUUAAAUGACUUGCUUAAUGGUAGGGCUCAGAGGUUCCAAAGCUCAGUUUCUGAAACUAAUUCAAAAUGUGCGCUCAAGAAACAAAAGGAAAGAAACAAUCACGAGCAAAAAUACAAAAGACGUAAUGAUUUCAACUAAUGUUAAAUUCCCUGAGGAACCAGGGAGCUUGUCAAUAUUUGGGGAAAGGUGAAAGAACAUAGAAUAUCCUUUUUUCCGAGCAAUAUUAUUGAAUUUAAUAAUUUAGUGGAAAUGUUCAUUUAAUUAUACAUUAAUGGGUAUGCAGUGAUAAUUUUUACAAAGUGCCAGGCGUGGUUGCUAGGCACAAGAGCUACUAAGAAGAAAGACACACCUCAGACACACCUCUGAAGUUAAAGAACAUUUAUUAGUCUUCUCGGAGUGAAUACCGAAACUUCCUGUGAUGAGACACAGACACCAGAAAGCUUUAAAAGAGUGAUUUAAGGAGGUAACCAGCACUUGCAGCCAACACUAUUAUGACUCCCUCAAGACGUGCACACACUGGAAUAAGCGUAAACAUUUACAAGGACAGGAAAAUUGAAUUCCUGAAAAUAUAUACCAAGCUGUAUUUUCACAAAUAAUCUUGUUUAUAGAUGCAUCAAUAUUCCUUGAGACUUGUUUGCAAUCACAGUUGUCCUGAGAGUUUUGAAGGCUUGUCAGAUGUUAAAGGAUUAGCCUUGGUCAGUAUAACUCUAGGAUAUUAACAUUCACUGGGCACCUACAUCUGAUCAGAAUCAUGCUAGGGGCUAGAGAAACAAAGAGAAACACAUCCCUUUUCCCCUAGGCCUCAGAGUCUAAAGGGGGAGAGAAGCAAGUAAACACUCCAUUACAGUAAGCCAUAUUGUAACUGGCAGGACAGACAUACACACAACCUGCUGUAGGAGCCAAAGGACGAGACUCCACAACCACGAGGUUGAGUAACCAGGAGACUGUCCGCAGCUCGUGUCUAAAUGCCUAGCUGAAAUCUAGAGAUGUCCAGCAGAGGAACGGGAAGUAUCUAUAUAAAAAAAAGUCAUCUUUCCAAGUAUACCAUGAAUCUGGACUUCAAUUUCCCACUGAUUUCUUUCCUGCUGCUGACAAUGGUCACAUCACAAAAUCCUGUCUCAUCCACAAUAGGAGGGCUUAAGUUGCAUCACGUUGUCUUCAGAAACUGCAGAGCAUUUGUAGGAUCAACUAACGCAGAAAAAUUAAGUAGAAGUUCAAGGUUAGAUAAAGAACAGCAGGCACACACUGAGUUACUCUUACCAUCACCGUGGGAAAUGGAAUUGAGGAGAGACGCAUCCACCUUCACUGUCUGCUCUUACCGUCUUAGAUUGGCAAGUUUGAGACCCUGUAAAUGAGUACACGGAAUGAUCAAAAGCAGUUAACAAGGACAUGUUGGUCUCAGAAACACACAGGCUACUUUGGCAUGUGGGAGACUAAGAAUGAAGCCAACAGGAAAAGAAGUAAGAAGUAAAGAUGGGGAUGAAGUCCUGACCGCGCUGUUUGAGCCCCUGACCGAGCUGUACUUCAAACGAGACUAUCCCCUGGACUUUCAAGCAACUUGAGCCGAUAAAUUCCCCUUAUUUUUAAGCCAGGUAGAAUUGGUUUUCUUUCACAUGCAACAGAAAGAAUCCUAAGUGAUAUAUUUAGGAAGUGAGAGGAACUAAACCUGCUAGUUGAAGGCAUCGUCUCUACAGCCAACAAAAGCUCAAGUAGUCAAAUCUGAUAGAUUCACAGCGUGGUCAACGGCGCUCUUCAAUGUCUUUGACUGGAUCUUUCUGUAUUCUUACUUGUGUUCACAAUCAGCCCACAUCUGAUUUUGAUAGAGUCAUUUUUUCUAAAUAUCCCCAAAUAAUCUUUCCCAAUAGAAGGAAUAAAAUAUCUUGAGUUUUAUACACGUGAAUCCCAUAUCUCCAUCUAUUUUUAAGCAUGUCCCUAAGACUCAAAACUCAAAAUUGUUAUUUUAUGAGGAGUCUUAAACAAAAACAAAAACAAAACCUCAAGGGUUUAAUCUGGAAUACUAAUUGGGUUGAAAAUAAACACAAAAAUUCAGCGGC